AUUUGAUAUUGAUGUAAACGUCAGAGUGGUAUUAUACAUUGAAACUCAUUGCUAAUUGUCAGAAUAUUAAUAAACAAAUCAUGUUUACAAGGAUCAAGAUAUGUAACUAAAAAAUAAAAACACAAAAAUACUGAACUCCGAGGAAAAAUCAAAACGGAAAGUCCCUUAUCAAAUGACAAAAUCAAAUUAUUAAACACAUCAAUCGAAUGGACUACAACAUUCAUGUUCCUGACUUGGUAUAGGCAUUUUAAAAUGUAGAAACAGUUAUCGAAGGUAACUAUAUUAUGCAUGGUAGAAAAUGGCUGGUUUUAAAGCGCUUAACCUCUCACUUGUUGAUAGUCA
RNAcentral lists this long non-coding RNA (342 nucleotides) under Mytilus galloprovincialis (Mediterranean mussel). Lineage: Eukaryota; Metazoa; Mollusca; Bivalvia; Mytilida; Mytilidae. The record is from RNAcentral.